CUUGACCUACGGGACGCAGCAGUGGGGAAUAUUGGGCAAUGGGCGCAAGCCUGACCCAGCAACGCCGCGUGAAGGAGGAAGGCUUUCGGGUUGUAAACUUCUUUUGUCAGGGACGAAUCAAGUGACGGUACCUGACGAAUAAGCCACGGCUAACUACGUGCCAGCAGCCGCGGUAAUACGUAGGGGGCAAGCGUUAUCCGGAUUUAUUGGGUGUAAAGGGCGUGUAGGCGGGAAUGCAAGGCAGAUGUGAAAA
This 253-nucleotide ribosomal RNA is filed under the name uncultured bacterium. RNAcentral's name for it is "partial 16S ribosomal RNA". It matches the Rfam family "Bacterial small subunit ribosomal RNA", at positions 333 to 600 of the family's 1533-position model. The record is from RNAcentral.